GGGGGCGACCGGUUUCGACGGGGAUAUUGACGCCAUCGUCGCAUGUCGAGAUCUCGGGAACUCGUAAAAUUCCGGGAAAAACGCAACUGCCAACCAAGAACUGGCACUCGCAGCCUAAUUUAGGCUGAGACGUCGUUCCAUCUGAGGUCCGCGGGGGUGGAAUGGCGCGAUGCAGCGGACUGGUCCCACGCCGGUGCUCAGCGGCGGGGGGCGAGACAAUACUGGGCUAGCGGUGAUUCUAAGCCGGCCGAUAGGCGUGGGUCGCUGCGAAGCUUAAAGAAUCGGCUACACAUGUAGACGCGAUGUGCCGACGAUCUUCGGACAGGGGUUCAACUCCCCUCGCCUCCACCA
Nitrospira sp. SCN 59-13 is the source of this 351-nucleotide non-coding RNA. NCBI's taxonomy places the organism in Bacteria, Pseudomonadati, Nitrospirota, Nitrospiria, Nitrospirales, Nitrospiraceae. The record is from Rfam.